RNAcentral lists this ribosomal RNA (236 nucleotides) under Glomeromycotina sp. RNAcentral describes it as "partial small subunit ribosomal RNA". The stretch from base 40 to 236 matches the Rfam family "Eukaryotic small subunit ribosomal RNA", at positions 686 to 884 of the family's 1831-position model. The record is from RNAcentral. Lineage: Eukaryota; Fungi; Glomeromycota.
GGGUCAGUAGGUUGGUCGUGCCACCGGUACGUACUGGUCUCACUGAUUCCUCCUUCCUGAAGAACCGUAAUGCCAUUAAUUUGGUGUUGCGGGGAAACAGGACUGUUACUUUGAAAAAAUUAGAGUGUUUAAAGCAAGCUAACGCUUGAAUACAUUAGCAUGGAAUAAUGAAAUAGGACGAUCGAUCCUAUUUUGUUGGUUUCUAGGAUUGACGUAAUGAUUAAUAGGGAUAUGGG